Molecule: transfer RNA, 74 nt
Filed under: Paludifilum halophilum
Lineage: Bacteria; Bacillati; Bacillota; Bacilli; Caryophanales; Thermoactinomycetaceae
Description: tRNA-Cys
Rfam family: tRNA
About the family: Transfer RNA (tRNA) molecules are approximately 80 nucleotides in length. Their secondary structure includes four short double-helical elements and three loops (D, anti-codon, and T loops). Further hydrogen bonds mediate the characteristic L-shaped molecular structure. tRNAs have two regions of fundamental functional importance: the anti-codon, which is responsible for specific mRNA codon recognition, and the 3' end, to which the tRNAs corresponding amino acid is attached (by aminoacyl-tRNA synthetases). tRNAs cope with the degeneracy of the genetic code in two manners: having more than one tRNA (with a specific anti-codon) for a particular amino acid; and 'wobble' base-pairing, i.e. permitting non-standard base-pairing at the 3rd anti-codon position.
Source: RNAcentral
GGGGGCAUAGCCAAGCGGUAAGGCACGGGACUGCAAAUCCCUCAUCCCCGGUUCGAAUCCGGGUGCCCCCUCCA